RNAcentral lists this ribosomal RNA (404 nucleotides) under uncultured eukaryote. Its description in RNAcentral is "SSU rRNA". It matches the Rfam family "Eukaryotic small subunit ribosomal RNA", at positions 567 to 972 of the family's 1831-position model. The record is from RNAcentral.
CCAGCAGCUGCGGUAAUUCCAGCUCCAAUAGCGUAUAUUAAAGUUGUUGCAGUUAAAAAGCUCGUAGUUGGAUUUCUGGCAGGAGCGACCGGUCUCACACUCUGUGUGAGAACUCGUGUUGUCUCUGGCCAUCCUUGGGGAGAUCCUGUUUGGCAUUAAGUUGUCGGGCAGGGGAUACCCAUCGUUUACUGUGAAAAAAUUAGAGUGUUUAAAGCAGGCAUUUGCUUGAAUACAUUAGCAUGGAAUAAUAAGAUAGGACUUUGGUUGCUAUUUCGUUGGUUUAUGGGACCGAAGUAAUGAUUAAUAGGGACAGUUGGGGCCGUUUAUAUUCCGUUGUCAGAGGUGAAAUUCUUGGAUUUACGGAAGAUAAACUUCUGCGAAAGCAUUCGGCAAGGAUGUUUUCA